RNAcentral lists this ribosomal RNA (295 nucleotides) under Escherichia coli. Its description in RNAcentral is "partial 23S ribosomal RNA". It matches the Rfam family "Bacterial large subunit ribosomal RNA", at positions 1085 to 1378 of the family's 2925-position model. Lineage: Bacteria; Pseudomonadati; Pseudomonadota; Gammaproteobacteria; Enterobacterales; Enterobacteriaceae. The record is from RNAcentral.
CCAGACAGCCAGGAUGUUGGCUUAGAAGCAGCCAUCAUUUAAAGAAAGCGUAAUAGCUCACUGGUCGAGUCGGCCUGCGCGGAAGAUGUAACGGGGCUAAACCAUGCACCGAAGCUGCGGCAGCGACGUUUAUGCGUUGUUGGGUAGGGGAGCGUUCUGUAAGCCUGCGAAGGUGUACUGUGAGGUAUGCUGGAGGUAUCAGAAGUGCGAAUGCUGACAUAAGUAACGAUAAAGCGGGUGAAAAGCCCGCUCGCCGGAAGACCAAGGGUUCCUGUCCAACGUUAAUCGGGGCAGG